Molecule: long non-coding RNA, 285 nt
Organism: Amphimedon queenslandica
Lineage: Eukaryota; Metazoa; Porifera; Demospongiae; Haplosclerida; Niphatidae
Exons: 3
Source: RefSeq, a predicted model, not a curated record
UGUGCAUAAAUAAAGGAUCGGCUAUUGGGACGCACAUGUUGGUGAUAGUGUCGUAUGGUUGACCAAAGGGUGAUCAAUUACAGUCAGUAUAAGUCAUGUGAUUUGUUCUGAAUUUCAGUUCAAUGAUAGUUGAGUCCUGUUAUCGUAACUCAAGUUUAUUAUGUAGUAGAUACAGAAGCUCGUACUAGCAUAUACUUUUGCUGGUAUAUUACCAUCACAGUACUGCCAUAUUUUGAUCGGCAUUACUUGGUACAGUUGGGAAGAUGUACACAACUACAGGAAGCU